RNAcentral lists this transfer RNA (74 nucleotides) under Pseudomonadota bacterium. RNAcentral's name for it is "tRNA-Thr". It matches the Rfam family "tRNA". From Rfam's summary of the family: Transfer RNA (tRNA) molecules are approximately 80 nucleotides in length. Their secondary structure includes four short double-helical elements and three loops (D, anti-codon, and T loops). Lineage: Bacteria; Pseudomonadati; Pseudomonadota. RNAcentral also lists the same sequence under 2 other names. The record is from RNAcentral.
GCCAGGGUAGCUCAGCUGGUUAGAGCGGCGGUUUCGUAAACCGCAGGUCGAGGGUUCGAUUCCCUUCCCUGGCU